GAUGAACGCUGGCGGCGUGCCUAACACAUGCAAGUCGAGCGAAGCACUUUGCUUGGAUUCUUCGGAUGAAGAGGAUUGUGACUGAGCGGCGGACGGGUGAGUAACGCGUGGGUAACCUGCCUCAUACAGGGGGAUAACAGUUAGAAAUGACUGCUAAUACCGCAUAAGACCACAGCACCGCAUGGUGCAGGGGUAAAAACUCCGGUGGUAUGAGAUGGACCCGCGUCUGAUUAGGUAGUUGGUGGGGUAACGGCCUACCAAGCCGACGAUCAGUAGCCGACCUGAGAGGGUGACCGGCCACAUUGGGACUGAGACACGGCCCAA
Molecule: ribosomal RNA, 324 nt
Filed under: uncultured bacterium
Lineage: Bacteria
Description: bacterial SSU rRNA
Rfam family: Bacterial small subunit ribosomal RNA
Source: RNAcentral